This is a long non-coding RNA of Petromyzon marinus (sea lamprey), 2631 nucleotides long. RefSeq lists it as uncharacterized. The record is from RefSeq and is a predicted model, not a curated record. NCBI's taxonomy places the organism in Eukaryota, Metazoa, Chordata, Hyperoartia, Petromyzontiformes, Petromyzontidae.
AGUCGCUGCGUCUCCGCGGUGCCCACUCACUGGCGCGGGCGUGGUGCGUGCUGGGGUCUGCGCGUCUCUCCGCGUGCGUCAAGGAACCGUGGGGAUUGGAUCGAGCGCGCGCGCGCACACACGUUCCGGACCCCAUUUGCUCGUCAAAGGACAGCAGCGUUAGCGUCUGCAUAAGCCUCCUCCGCGUGGCGCACACCACCCGCCGCUGCCGCAGCGCCACCACAGCCACCACGGUCUCUCCAAUCAGAGGCUGGAUCACCACCGCCGAGCCUCCCACCACAUGCAAGAUCCUGGGAAAAGAGAGACCAACGUUGUGGCCAAACAAGACUACUGGCGUUCAUGAACAUGUACUGCCCUUUUCUGCUGUCAAUCGACUGCUGGAUUAGGGCCUCUCCAUAUUGUGCGGGUCAUGGGCAUUGUUUGACCGUAGUUCACCACCAUUGGUGUGAGUUGGUGUAGUAGCCAGCGUAUUGCAGGACAACGGCGCAUGUUUCUUCACUGCCCUCUGCUGCCCACAACGCAGCCUUGAAGCCUCACAACGACCGUUUAAUACAAGGUCAGCCACCCAACAACGAUCCAGGCUCAAUACCGCUCAACUUUCAAGACCCCACGAGAUCGGGAACAUUCCGGGUGAUUUUGAUUUGGUUUUAGUCUACAUGGUCCCCCUGAUAAAUAUGAAAGAAAACCGAAUGUCAAAUUGGUGACCCAGGUCAUUCUUGCAAAUGAGGCCAUCUUGGUCUUUUGAGUUCUCACCUGGCUUCACAAAAUACAUUUACAACGUGAAACCUGGGCUUACCAGCCCAUUACAUCUGCCUUGCAAAAAAUAGGUGAGCAAAUGCCAUCGACAACUGAUGUUGUAAAAAAAUAGCUCUUACCUCACAUUAUCAGCUACUGCCACCAGUCGUGGAGAUUGAGAGUCUUGGAUGAGAACCAACUUGGAAACUUCUGCUCCCUAUUGGCAACACAAACCAGAAGUUUUAUCACCAAACCAAAAUAAGCAAAGGCCUUUCAAUGACUGUGUCCAAUAAAAGGCAAUUCUCUAAGUAAAAAGGCGAUGAUUACUCACAUCAGUCAAGACCCAUGUAUGGAUUUCUUGCCAUUGUCCAUCUUCCCAGUGCUCAGCCCACAAGGAAACAAGGCCUUUCUGAGCAAUAAUGAGGCACCUGCAAGGGUGUCCUUGAAGCUCCCAGAAUGCACUGCACAGGGCCUCAAUGCUUCCACUUGCUGAGCACUGUCAAUUUCACACAAAAGACAUUAAACAAUCAUCAUGAUAUAACUGUAUCCAUACACACAAGGCUUAAAUUAGUACUACGUCACAUCUUAUCGAGCAAUGUUGUUUGUAUUUAAAAGAUACAAAAAGGUACACAUUACAGCAUUUUUACAUGUACAGCUCUUUUACCAAUCCGCUGCUGAACGAGUCUCCCCACACUGUGCGGGUCAUGGGGGUUAUAUGACCAUACCUCACGACGUUGGUUAAGUACAGGUUGAUGAAGGUGGUGACCAUAGAUUUUAGAGCAUUGAACAGCAUAGCAAUGGGUUUUCUGCACUGCACUCUGCUCACAAAGAGGCUAGUUAUGAAUACUGUAUUAAACUCUCUAAUACGGCCAAAUCCCCAAUCCACUUUCAGUAACAUUAAUUCACUGUAUCGAGGACGGUGCACUCACAACAUACCUGAAUCGUAGCCAUCAAGUCUAACUGCCAGUGAAAUUUCUGCUUGGGCGCUCCUUGGGUUGCGUCCAUAGGAUUGUUCUCACCAUCACUAACAAGCGGAACAGAGCUCUCUGCCUGGUCUCUGUGCACGUUUAGUUCAUGUGGACUCAUCUGUACCACUGCUGCUGCGUUGUCGGGCUGUGAAGGAUGAAUAAACACAGUCUCUGGCCUCACAAAUUCUUGAUGUUCCCAACCCUGCAGCUCAGCACCAGAGCACUGGGAAGAUAAUUCUGCUCCAUCUCUCAUAGGAGGCUGUCCCUCGUGACAAACUGGAGUAGCAGCUGCAACCGCCGGUGGCAGCUCCCCUUUGCAGGAGCUUGCAACAUUCAUGUCGCUGUGGGUAAAAUCCUUAACUUUGUUUACUUGUGGAUUAGGGGCACACUCUCCAUUUACAUCUGCAUAUUGUGGAUCUGAAUUGAGCUGUUUCACCAAGCCACUGGUCUGUGACAAUCCACAGACUUGGCUCAGAGGCAGUGAAAGAGGGCUAAAUCCCACUGACAACCGCGGUGGUGAUAAAUGUAAAGCAGGCAUCUCAUCGAGUUGCACAUGUCCACUCUCGACUGGAGUGGACAGGAUGACAGUAGUGGACAACUGUGCCUUGGCAUCUCCACAGCCAAGUUUUAGUGAUUUAUCCAUUACAUUGUCAUCUGGGCAGCUUGCAUUUGCUUUUUCAAAGCAUUCAUCUUCUUGUGGGGCUACGUCAUUUUCUUCAUGGCACUUCUCUUCACAUGGAACACCUAAGGCAGCUCCAACAUUUACUUUUUCUGCACCCUGUUUGGAAAUGCAAGACCACCGAUACACAUUUUACCAUCACUGAACAAACAUAAUUGUGCACACUUCAUUUAAUCAAAAGUGAACGUAACCAUUUACUACUGUGUUGUGUUUAGCUCUAGAAAAAGUGGCCUGUAAUGCCUGACCUCG